CCUACGGUAGGCAGCAGUGGGGAAUAUUUCACAAUGGGGGAAACCCUGAUGCAGCGACGCCGCGUGAGUGAAGCAGUAUUUCGGUAUGUAAAGCUCUAUCCGCAGGGAAGAAAAUGACGGUACCUGAUUAAGAAGCCCCGGCUAACUACGUGCCAGCAGCCGCGGUAAUACGUAGGGGGCAAGCGUUAUCCGGAUUUACUGGGUGGAAAGGGAGCGUAGACGGCAGCGCAAGUCUGAAGUGAAAUGCCGGGGCUUAACCCCGGAACUGCUUGGGAAACUGUGCAGCUAGAGGGCAGGAGAGGUAAGUGGAAUGCCGAGUGUAGCGGUGAAAUGCGUAGAUAUAUGGAAGAACACCAGUGGCGAAAGCGGCUCUCUGGUCUGUAACUGACGCUGAGGUUCGAAAGCGUGGGGAGCAAACAGGAUUAGAUACCCUAGUAGUC
RNAcentral lists this ribosomal RNA (440 nucleotides) under uncultured bacterium. RNAcentral's name for it is "partial 16S ribosomal RNA". It matches the Rfam family "Bacterial small subunit ribosomal RNA", at positions 338 to 795 of the family's 1533-position model. The record is from RNAcentral.